GACGAACGCUGGCGGCGUGCUUAACACAUGCAAGUCGAACGGAAAGGCCCCUUUCGGGUUGCUCGCGUGGCAAACGGGUGAGUAACACUUCCGUAACCUGCCCUUCACUUCGUGAUAACUUCAGCAAACUGGGCCUAAUACCGGGUACGAAUCCUUGCUGCCUGGUGGGGGUGGGCAAGCUUCUGCUUUUUUGGAUGGACUCGCGGCUUAUUAGCUUGUUGGUGGGGUAGUGGAUUACCGAGGGUUUGACGGGUCGCCGGCCUGCGGGGGCGAACGGCCAGACUGGGACUGAGAUAGGGCCCGGACUGCUACGGGAGGCAGGAGGGGGGAAGAUUGCACAAUGGGCGGAAGCAUGACGGAGGAAGGCAGGGUGCGGGAUGACAGAAUUCGGGUUGUAAGCCGCUUUCAGCAGGGGGGGAACAUGUAGUGACGGUACCUGCAGAAGAAGCACCGGCUAACUACGUG
This 465-nucleotide ribosomal RNA is filed under the name uncultured bacterium. Its description in RNAcentral is "partial 16S ribosomal RNA". It matches the Rfam family "Bacterial small subunit ribosomal RNA", at positions 28 to 507 of the family's 1533-position model. The record is from RNAcentral.